CCAUCGACAAGGAUGGAGGAAGUGGGGGAUGACGGUCAAGUCAUCAUGGCCCUUAUGUCCAGGGCGACACACGUGCUACAAUGGCCGGGCACAACGGGAAGCGAGUUCGCGAGGACGAGCGGAUCCCUCAAAGACCGGUCGCAGUUCGGAUUGAAGUCUGCAACUCGACUUCAUGAAGCUGGAAUCGCUAGUAAUCGUGGAUCAGCCAAGCCGCGGUGAAUACGUUCCCGGGCCUU
This 236-nucleotide ribosomal RNA is filed under the name uncultured Synergistaceae bacterium. Its description in RNAcentral is "partial 16S ribosomal RNA". It matches the Rfam family "Bacterial small subunit ribosomal RNA", at positions 1152 to 1382 of the family's 1533-position model. The record is from RNAcentral. Lineage: Bacteria; Thermotogati; Synergistota; Synergistia; Synergistales; Synergistaceae.